GAUGAACGCUAGCGGAGGCUUAACACAUGCAAGUCGAGGGGCAGCAUAGGGUAGCAAUACUCUGAUGGCGACCGGCAAACGGGUGAGUAACGCGUAUGUAACCUACCCUGUACAGGGGGAUAACCCGGAGAAAUUCGGACUAAUAUCCCAUAACAAUAUCCGGGGGCAUCUUUGGAUAUUUAAAGUUCCGGCGGUACGGGAUGGGCAUGCGUAACAUUAGCUAGUUGGUAAGGUAACGGCUUACCAAGGCUUUGAUGUUUAGGGGUCCUGAGAGGGUGGUCCCCCACACUGGUACUGAGACACGGACCAGACUCCUACGGGAGGCAGCAGUGAGGAAUAUUGGUCAAUGGGCGCAAGCCUGAACCAGCCAUCCCGCGUGCAGGAAGACGGCGCUAUGCGUUGUAAACUGCUUUUCCAGGGAGAGAAACUUGCGCACGUGUUGCGCAAUUGACGGUACCCUGGGAAUAAGCAUCGGCUAACUCCGUG
RNAcentral lists this ribosomal RNA (486 nucleotides) under uncultured bacterium. Its description in RNAcentral is "bacterial SSU rRNA". It matches the Rfam family "Bacterial small subunit ribosomal RNA", at positions 28 to 507 of the family's 1533-position model. The record is from RNAcentral.